RNAcentral lists this ribosomal RNA (492 nucleotides) under uncultured bacterium. RNAcentral describes it as "partial 16S ribosomal RNA". It matches the Rfam family "Bacterial small subunit ribosomal RNA", at positions 29 to 507 of the family's 1533-position model. The record is from RNAcentral.
AGUGAACGCUGGCGGUAGGCCUAACACAUGCAAGUCGAACGGCAGCACAGUAAGAGCUUGCUCUUACGGGUGGCGAGUGGCGGACGGGUGAGGAAUACAUCGGAAUCUACUUUUUCGUGGGGGAUAACGUAGGGAAACUUACGCUAAUACCGCAUACGACCUACGGGUGAAAGCAGGGGAUCUUCGGACCUUGCGCGAUUGAAUGAGCCGAUGUCGGAUUAGCUAGUUGGCGGGGUAAAGGCCCACCAAGGCGACGAUCCGUAGCUGGUCUGAGAGGAUGGUCAGCCACACUGGAACUGAGACACGGUCCAGACUCCUACGGGAGGCAGCAGUGGGGAAUAUUGGACAAUGGGCGGAAGCCUGAUCCAGCCCUACCGGGUUGGUGAAGAAGGCCUUCGGGUUGGAAAGCCCUUUUGUUGGGAAAGAAAAGCAGCAGGUUAAUACCCCGCUGUUCUGACGGUACCCAAAGAAUAAGCACCGGCUAACUUCGUG